Solanum lycopersicum (tomato) is the source of this 1316-nucleotide non-coding RNA. NCBI's taxonomy places the organism in Eukaryota, Viridiplantae, Streptophyta, Magnoliopsida, Solanales, Solanaceae. The record is from RefSeq and is a predicted model, not a curated record.
CAACCUACUGAAAUGAAAAUUCACCGAGUUAUAGUAUUGGCAUUAACAUCAAUAUCGAAAUUGCUCAUAUUGUCAAGAUAAAAUAUCCUGUUGCUGAGGCAUAUGGAGGCCCAGCUACCUACUCACCUAAACUUGUUAACAAAUUUACUUUUAGUAGGUAAAAUCUUAGCAUCAUGGUGGAAUAUAAUAAGAUUGUAAUUGGUCCUGACUAUUUGAUGCACGAUUUUGCAAAACACAUCCGUUUUGAUGCACAAUUAGACAUUGUCAGGAAGUCGCACAAAGAUAUCUUAUCAAAUUUUUAUAACACAUCCGUUUCUCUGAUACGUGUGAGUCACUAAGAUACAAAACUAGUAAGAUAUGGCAUUCAAGGGAGACCCCAAAAGCAUCUUAGCAUCACAUCCAGCUUGCUAAUCGAGGGGGAGGCAGCGUAGUAACUCAUCAAGAACUUCAAAGCUUAAAUGAAAAAAAAUGCCAGUAAGGUAAGCAAAUGGAAUACUCAUCGCUAGCUUCCCCGGGUAGGAAAUGGAGAACUAAUAGCCAGCUUCCCCGGGUUGCACAAGCAACAAUAUGGUGUUUAUGAAGGAGACAUCCCAAGGAAACUCUCGUUUUCGUCAUUUCAACCAUCUUAAUCAAUUUCAUGAAGUAGUACACUUACAUCUGCAACCAACCAAAUACUUCUUUUCUAUUAUUUAAUUUACUUAUAUAAUCUUAAUUUUUCCAGAAACAGCAUCUCUACUUCCACGAGAUAGGGGUAACGUCUACGUACACUCUACUUCCCCAGACCCCACUUGUGGGAUUAUACUGACAACUGGCAAGAACUUGGGAUAAAAUUCCUCCUAACAGCAACAUGUUCUCUUUCUUUUUAUAUUUAUUUAUUUGGAUUCUCCCACAUUAUCUAUAAGAACAAUUAUUACAACAAUAAGCCUUACUACUUUUUUUUUAAAUAACUUCCAAUAAUUACUAGAUACUUUUUUAAAAACUCUACUCUCACUCCCCCAACAAAGAAAUAGAAGAAGAAAAAAACUUUAAAAACUGCAUUUGCAUAAAAAAGCAAAGUUGAUUCCUUUUCUACGAAUAGAAAAGCUCCCUUUUAGCCAUAGAUUUUUGAAGUUGAAAUUCAAAAAAUUGAGUCUCUGAAGAUGUAACCAACAACAACAUACCCAACGUAGUCCCACAAAGUAGGGUAUGAGAGGUUAGAGUGUACAAAGACCGUAUCUGAGAGGUAGAGAGGCUAUUUUCCAUGGACCAUCAUCUCUAGUUUUUGAAGUUGUAGUAGAAAAUUCAUUUUUACUUAGAAAAAUUUGAACUUUUUGUGA